Molecule: ribosomal RNA, 530 nt
Filed under: Pezicula sporulosa
Lineage: Eukaryota; Fungi; Ascomycota; Leotiomycetes; Helotiales; Dermateaceae
Description: eukaryotic LSU rRNA
Rfam family: 5.8S ribosomal RNA (bases 196-349)
Source: RNAcentral
CGUAGGUGAACCUGCGGAGGGAUCAUUACAGAGACUCUGCCCUUUGGGUAGACCUCCCACCCUGUGUCGUUAUACCUUUGUUGCUUUGGCGGGCCGCGGGGCUCCGGCCCUGCCCCUGGCUCCGGCUAGGGCGCGCCCGCCGGAGGACUCGAAAACCUGAAUGUUAGUGUCGUCUGAGUACUAUAUAAUAGUUAAAACUUUCAACAACGGAUCUCUUGGUUCUGGCAUCGAUGAAGAACGCAGCGAAAUGCGAUAAGUAAUGUGAAUUGCAGAAUUCAGUGAAUCAUCGAAUCUUUGAACGCACAUUGCGCCCCUUGGUAUUCCGGGGGGCAUGCCUGUUCGAGCGUCAUUACAACCCUCAAGCUCAGCUUGGUCUUGGGCGUCACCGGUCCCCGGUGUGCCUUAAAAUCAGUGGCGGCGCCGUCUGGCUCUAAGCGUAGUACAUACUCUCGCUACAGACGCCCGGCGGAUGCUGGCCAGCAACCCCCAAUCUAUCAAGGUUGACCUCGGAUCAGGUAGGGAUACCCGUC